This 1059-nucleotide ribosomal RNA is filed under the name Bacteriastrum furcatum. Its description in RNAcentral is "SSU rRNA". It matches the Rfam family "Eukaryotic small subunit ribosomal RNA", at positions 50 to 1127 of the family's 1831-position model. The record is from RNAcentral. Lineage: Eukaryota; Bacillariophyta; Thalassiosirophyceae; Chaetocerotales; Chaetocerotaceae.
CAUGCAUGUCUAAGUAUAAAUAUUUUACUUUGAAACUGCGAAUAGCUCAUUACAACAGUUAUAAUUUAUUUGAUAGUCCCUUACUACUUGGAUACCCGUAGUAAUUCUAGAGCUAAUACAUGCAUUAAUACCCGACCUCUGGAAGGGUAGUAUUUAUUAGAUAGAAGCCAUCCGUUUCGACGUGUAAUGGUGAUUCAUAAUAACUUUGCGAAUCGCAUGGUGUAUGCCGGCGAUGGAUCAUUCAAGUUUCUGCCCUAUCAGCUUUGAUGGUAGUGUAUUGGACUACCAUGGCAGUGACGGGUAACGGGGGAUUAGGGUUUGAUUCCGGAGAGGGCGCCUGAGAGACGGCGACCACAUCCAAGGAAGGCAGCAGGCGCGUAAAUUACCCAAUUUCAACACGAAGAGGUAGUGACAAUAAAUAACAAUGCUGGGAUCGCAAGAUUCUGGCAAUUGGAAUGAGAACAAUUUAAAUCCCUUAUCAAGGAUCAAUUGGAGGGCAAGUCUGGUGCCAGCAGCCGCGGUAAUUCCAGCUCCAAUAGCGUAUAUUAAAGUUGUUGCAGUUAAAAAGCUCGUAGUCGGAUUUCUGGUUGGAGGGAUCGGUCUUGCCUCUCGGUAAGAAGUGUGUCCUUUUGACCAUCCUUGGACAGAUCCUGUCUGGCAUUAAGUUGUCGGGUGGGGAAAGUUCAUCAUUUACUGUGAGAAAAUUAGAGUGUUCAAAGCAGGCUUAUGCCUUGAAUAUAUUAGCAUGGAAUAACAAUAUAGGACUUUAGUGCUAUUUUGUUGGUUUGCGCACUGAAGUAAUGAUCAACAGGGACAGUUGGGGAUAUUGGUAUUCCAGUGUCAGAGGUGAAAUUCUUAGAUUACUGGAAGACUAACUACUGCGAAAGCAUUUAUCAAGGAUGUUUUCAUUGAUCAAGAACGAAAGUUAGGGGAUCGAAGAUGAUUAGAUACCAUCGUAGUCUUAACCAUAAACUAUGCCGACUCUGGAUGGGCGGGUGUCUCUUGACCUCGUCUGCACAGUAUGAGAAAUCAAAGUCUUUGGGUUCCGGGGGGAGUAUG